GCUGCAGCUUUUGGAGGUGAUGGGCAGGCAGGCUUUGGUUAGCUGUUCUGCACACAGGAGCUAAAGGGCUUAUGAAGUCUGAUCAACCAGAGUUGUUCAUGAGCCUGUUGUAGACAUAUUACCUGUCUCAGGUUCUGCCUGCAUUUUCCUGACCGACUGAUGGUAGUUGACUUUCAACCCUGUCCGUGCUUGGUGCUUGGUGCUUUUACCACUUAUCCACAAAAUACUCAUUUGCAUAGUGAUAGACUCAACGGUCACGGGGCAGGGCAGUCUAGAGGUGGUGAGGGCUAAGCAUUGUUGAAACCGCUACCCAGCUUGCCUGGGGGCAGUCCUGUGUGCUCCAGUGUGAUGCAGAAUGGAGUUGUGUCAAGUUGAACUGUGCCCUGGGAAGAGGAUUAGGCUGUUGUGCCUUUUGAUUCCUAUGAGUCAUUUCUCAAAACUUGGAAAAGUGUUAGACCAACUCAGGAGGCACAGAGGCAGCUUUUUAAAACCUGUUAAGACCUCAGCUACCCCCAUGGACUCCUGACUAAUCACGGGUGUCCAUACUCAGGAAUGGGCCCAAGAGACCUCAGCCUGUGCAGCCAGGAUCUUCACAUCUCUCCUGCUCUUCUUCCUUUUGGUCAUACCUCAUGCCACGUGAUGAGAAAACUGCUCUUGGAGAUGUUGUAAAUUCUUACCCUCUUUGGUUAACUGACUAGCCAAGGCCCUGACUUUGCUUUUGCACUGCCAAGCUUAGAUUCCUCAGAGCCUGUUUUGCCUCCAGAGCAUGACACUCAGACGAACCAAGUCCUUUUGCUUUCAGGCUUUUGUCGUCUUCACGUUUAAUAAACUCAGCUUUAAUUUCCUCAGGACUGAAAUGGAUAUCCAAUGACUCCAGAGUAUCAGCUGCCAAAAGCAACCAGAACACAAGCAGUUAUCAGGAAUGAGGACCAGGGUAGUCAAAGUUAGUAUCCGUAGCUGGCCUACUAGCACAACAUCCAUAAUCCCAGCACUUAGGAAUAGAAGCAGGAGGAUCAGUAGUUUUAAGGUCAUCCCUUUUACAUAGCCAGAGGCCAGCUUGGGCUACACCAGACCCUGUCCCCCAAAAAAUAUUCCUGCGAGAUGGAGUAGCUGCCCCAGUAUGCCUUAGUCCUAGAUGAGCCUUCAGUUCUCAUCCUGAAGAGGAGUGUGUAAGGCUGUGUUGAUAAGGGAGUUGAUAUUCACCUUAACAAAAAGAUUGGGAAUAACAUAACAGGCAUAAGAAAAAAUGGAGCAAGGUCACACAUGCCUAUUAUUCUAAUACUUGGAAAUCUAAGGAUGGUUGCUGUGAGUUCGAGACUAACCUCUGUUCUGUAGUAAAUGCCUGACCAGCUAAAGACAUGACAAGACUGUCUCAGCAACAAAGCUUUGAAACACUGUCCUCAGGUUUUAAAGGGGGUGAGGAAUGGUUGUUGCAGGGGACAGUGUGAGCCCUGCGGGUGCAGGUGCAGGUGCAGAGGAGCGAGGCAGGCUUAGUGGCCCUGUUUCCUCUUCAAGCACAGUGAUGAGUUCUAAUGAAGCCACCCAUGGGAAACCACACCUAAGGAAUUGGACGGAAGUGGCACCUGUUGGCUCAUCUCCACAACUAAAAUAGAGAACAUUUCCAUCAUCCAAGUCGCCUCAGGUCCCUUGAGUAGGGACCAUCCAUCAAUCGUCACUAAGCCACUGCUGUCUGCUGUGUAUUAGACGAAAUCAGUCAGUAUGGUUUUUAUUUGGGUGUGAUUUCACUCAGCAUGCUGUGAAAAGCAUCUGUGUUGUUACUUGAGUCAGUUUUCUUCAGAGAGUAGUAUUCUGUUACAUGAAUAUAUCCUAUUGGUGUGGGCAUCAGCUGUUUUUAGUUUGGGACAUUAUGAAUAAGAUGCUUAUGAACAUUUAUAUACAAUGUUGUGCGAACAUAUAACUUCACUUCUCUUCAAUAAAUACUGGUGGUUAAAAAUU
RNAcentral lists this long non-coding RNA (1956 nucleotides) under Rattus norvegicus (Norway rat). RNAcentral's name for it is "long non-coding RNA NONRATT020491". The record is from RNAcentral. Lineage: Eukaryota; Metazoa; Chordata; Mammalia; Rodentia; Muridae.